UUGGCGCAGGCUUUUCCAUGCAGUCGAGCGGGGGAGGUAGCUUGCUACCGGACCUAGCGGCGGACGGGUGAGUAAUGCUUAGGAAUCUGCCUAUUAGUGGGGGACAACAUCUCGAAAGGGAUGCUAAUACCGCAUACGUCCUACGGGAGAAAGCAGGGGAUCUUCGGACCUUGCGCUAAUAGAUGAGCCUAAGUCGGAUUAGCUAGUUGGUGGGGUAAAGGCCUACCAAGGCGACGAUCUGUAGCGGGUCUGAGAGGAUGAUCCGCCACACUGGGACUGAGACACGGCCCAGACUCCUACGGGAGGCAGCAGUGGGGAAUAUUGGACAAUGGGCGCAAGCCUGAUCCAGCCAUGCCGCGUGUGUGAAGAAGGCCUUAUGGUUGUAAAGCACUUUAAGCGAGGAGGAGGCUACUUUAGAUAAUACCUAGAGAUAGUGGACGUUACUCGCAGAAUAAGCACCGGCUAACUCUGUGCCAGCAGCCGCGGUAAUACAGAGGGUGCAAGCGUUAAUCGGAUUUACUGGGCGUAAAGCGCGCGUAGGCGGCUAAUUAAGUCAAAUGUGAAAUCCCCGAGCUUAACUUGGGAAUUGCAUUCGAUACUGGUUAGCUAGAGUGUGGGAGAGGAUGGUAGAAUUCCAGGUGUAGCGGUGAAAUGCGUAGAGAUCUGGAGGAAUACCGAUGGCGAAGGCAGCCAUCUGGCCUAACACUGACGCUGAGGUGCGAAAGCAUGGGGAGCAAACAGGAUUAG
Molecule: ribosomal RNA, 747 nt
Filed under: Acinetobacter calcoaceticus
Lineage: Bacteria; Pseudomonadati; Pseudomonadota; Gammaproteobacteria; Moraxellales; Moraxellaceae
Description: bacterial SSU rRNA
Rfam family: Bacterial small subunit ribosomal RNA
Source: RNAcentral